GCCUUUGUGGUAUAACGGUAGCACACUCGACGUGUAUUCAAGAGGUCCAGGUUCGAGUCCUGCCGAGGGCG
RNAcentral lists this transfer RNA (71 nucleotides) under Stegodyphus mimosarum. It matches the Rfam family "tRNA". From Rfam's summary of the family: Transfer RNA (tRNA) molecules are approximately 80 nucleotides in length. Lineage: Eukaryota; Metazoa; Arthropoda; Arachnida; Araneae; Eresidae. The record is from Rfam by way of RNAcentral.